Molecule: transfer RNA, 65 nt
Filed under: Dipodomys ordii (Ord's kangaroo rat)
Lineage: Eukaryota; Metazoa; Chordata; Mammalia; Rodentia; Heteromyidae
Rfam family: tRNA
About the family: Transfer RNA (tRNA) molecules are approximately 80 nucleotides in length. Their secondary structure includes four short double-helical elements and three loops (D, anti-codon, and T loops).
Source: Rfam by way of RNAcentral
GGUAGCUCAGUGGUAGAGUGCUUGCCUAGCAUGCAUGAGGCCCUGGGUUCGAUUCCUUAGAACCA